This is a long non-coding RNA of Triticum dicoccoides, 1963 nucleotides long. RefSeq lists it as uncharacterized. The transcript is spliced from 5 exons. Lineage: Eukaryota; Viridiplantae; Streptophyta; Magnoliopsida; Poales; Poaceae. The record is from RefSeq and is a predicted model, not a curated record.
GAAUCGAAUCAGUGCGUUCGAGAAGGCUGUAAGAUGUUUUGCAGAGAAGCCAGCUUCAAAUGUUCUUGGCACUACAUUUGACUCCUUGGGCAAGGCUUGUGACUUCUACAAUCUGUAUUCAUGGGAAAAAGGUUUUGGCAUUCGCUAUGGGAAGAGACGGCUAAAUGUGGAGUGGGUAAAAUGCAUGCAGGAAAUAGUUUGUGGCUGCUCGGGUAAAGCUGCGGUAGACUUCUACAGGCAGAAGACAAUGGAAGAGAUCUCAUAAAGCAACUCAGGCAGAACAAUGUGAAUCUGGGCAAGGUUUAUAGUAUCAUAGUCAUAGGUGGCUUUUUUGGUUCGAUGGAGAAUGUUCCCUUCACCAAGAGGUCUUUGUGAAAUCUGUGUGGGCAGAUCAACAGGGACCAGGCGGAUGAUGAUGUGAGGAAGACAAUGGAAGUUUUUGCAGACAUUGGAGCCAAGGAUCCGCAUUUUACAUACCGGGUUCAGGCUGACACUGAGGGCAGGUGCUCGAUUUCAUUAGGGCUAAAGAAAUACCAGCUAAGCAUAUAGUGAAGAGAUGGACGAGGGAUGAUCGCGACGUUCUGCCACCUCAUUUGAUACAAUACCAAAAGGACAGCAUGUAGAACAACCCUUUUUCGUACAGACACUUCACGAUGUACUUGCACGCCAUGGAUCUAGUCAGGCCGGCGACACUAGCGUUGAAGCCUACAAUCGGUUGCUGUAGUUGUUCAAGUCCAACUUGAUAGUGAUGUUACCCUAUGUAGAAGUUAGGGAUGGUCUUGGCCAGACUGGCGGACAGUGGUGCCGUAAAUCAGAGCCCCAUGGAGAUGGUUGCAGUGGAACAAAACAUGAUCAUCGAUGGAGGUACUGCUGAUUUAGCGGACAAUGAUUCUGUGUCCAGGACAAGCAACAUGUUGGAAGGACUACUGGCUCCAGCAAAACAGAAAGAUAUUGGGCGGCCAACGACAAGUAUGGAGAAGGCUCCAUAUGAAGUCUAAGCAAGAGGACUAGGUUUUGCACGAUUUGCAGAAAGCAAGGGCAUAAGCGAACUACAUGCCCCGGCCCUGGUGAUGUCCCCAAGCAACCUUGGUAGCCUGCGAAAUGCAAGAACUGUGGCGUGAGGGGCACACCGACAAAAUAAUUGUAAUAAAGCAAUGGAAUUAAGGCUGGCAAAUGGAAUGUAGAAGCUGAUGUGGCUCAUGAUGUCUUUUCAGUUAUCUUAUUUGCCAUUGAGGCAUAUGAAUGUAGGCAUCAUGUUUUACCUUCGGUGUGAUCAGACCGUGGUUACUUUGCAGACAGUGCAUGAGUAAUAUAAUACGUAGUAUGUCAGGUUGUGUCACUGAUUUUGUUUCAAAAUGUUGGCUUAUCCCCAGGUUUUGAUGAAUUUGUGUGCAUGCUUUUGAAGGUAAAACCUUGGCCUUUUGGUGCAGCGGGAGUGGCUGAAUUGUCUGAUUCGCUAUCUGAAAACUUGUACACUCCUGAAUAUCGAAAGAGAUGCAGAUGUGUUCUCGUUCGCUAUCUGUUUUCUGGAUCGUAAUCUAAGUUCCGGCCGUCAAUGCUUCACAGCAGAGCACCUUCUGGAACGUUGCUGGGUUGGUCUCUGAUGAAGAUCAGAAGAUGAAUCAUAUGAAGAGCAGCCGCGCUUGCAAGCUUGCAUGGAGGCGGAACAUGGUGGUGAAGAAAGGACUGGCGACUAUGAUCCAUUUGGAGCCACGGGGACUGAAGAGCUGAAUGCCCUUGUUGGUGAAGAGGGCGAGCAGUCUGAAGCACCACGCUGUGACUACGAGGAAGAAAUGGAGACAGAGGGGAACAAAUAUUCGGAGGAAGGGACGAUGGGUUGGCCACAAUAAAUGCCUCAGUUGGAUGGAGCCCGUUAGAUGACUCACGUCUGAGCCGUUGGACAUGUAAUGCGGUCGCUUCUGAUCCGCCUCGUGGGCGGUGACAGCGUUCGCAUUAAAAGCGG